RNAcentral lists this transfer RNA (77 nucleotides) under Vibrio parahaemolyticus. RNAcentral describes it as "tRNA-Pro". It matches the Rfam family "tRNA". Rfam says of the family: Transfer RNA (tRNA) molecules are approximately 80 nucleotides in length. The record is from RNAcentral. Lineage: Bacteria; Pseudomonadati; Pseudomonadota; Gammaproteobacteria; Vibrionales; Vibrionaceae.
CCGUCCUUAGCUCAGCUGGAUAGGGUACCGGGCUCGGAACCGGGCGGUCGGAGGUUGAAAGCCUCCAGGACGCGCCA